UUGGUUUUCGUCCUUAUAAUUUGAUGAUUUUUUCAUUUUUGACCUUCAUAGCAAAUUUUGCCCCCUGUAAUUUGAGAAAAUUUUGGUCAACCUCUUGUAAUUUGAGCAAAUUUCAAUUUACCCUCUGGUAAUUUGAGAAAAUUUUUGUUUAGCCCCUGCCAUAUCGUCGAUUGUGUACUGUUAAAAUUCAGAAGGUGGAAAACCAAACAAAAAAUUUUACAGGAUAGAAAACCAGAAAUGACUUAUAUUAUAAGGGAUAAAAUACUAUUAACUCUACAUAAAUUAAUUUGGGACGCUGCAUAGAGGAAUGAUAACUUAUACAUGCAUCCAAUAGUAGAGAAUUAUUAGAAAAUCACAAAUUGUAUGCCGACAGUAUGCAAUACGGUGUUGUCUGGUUGGUUUUAAUGUUUGAAAAUCAUUUCUCUAUUAGAUAGGAGGUUAGUUUGAUUUCUACCGCUAUCAAACUCUCUUUUCCCUGUUAUUUUUUAUUUUUUAGAGGAAAUAUUUUCCCUGCUAAAUUAAUUACUGUCAUUUUUCGUAUUUAAGAGAUUAUUUUCGACAUAAUAUGAUGAAACUCUAACCAAGUGAUUGACUGUCCUUGUGAGCUUAACUCAGUUGGUUGGAUAAUGCAUAAAUAUAUGCAAGAUUCGGGAUUCAAACCCCACCCCGUCCACCACAAAAAAAAAAAAACCAAGUGAUGGACUCGGGUGUUAAUCAAUUCCAUCAAAUGAUGAAUCGUUCGAAAAAAUGAGAUUGAUUCUUGGUGGAACAGUUUUUUGCCAUAAUAUAUAUUUUUUUUUUUAUGUUAACCCAUCGAUUUCUAGAGAAAGUGAGCAUUGGUAAUAUGAAGUUUGAUCAUGUGGUAAGUAAAGUCUACAAUUAUUGUAUCCGUCGGUGAUACAUCAAAAUUGACUCAUUUGAUAAAAGUUUAUAUGUUAAGUUUGAUGUAUCUCAACAUAUCAAAUUAUUUCAGUCAAAUUUUAUAUACAUGAUCUAUUAUCCAUUGAUGGAUAUUGUAAAUACAGAUAUACGGUAAAAAAGUAUCAGUGAUAUCAUAUAUUAAGUUUAACAUCAUGGUGUAAAUUGAUCAAAUCCCUAUAUAAAAAUAAAUUGAUCAAAUCCCUAUAUAAAAAUUUAGAAAAUAUUAUAUGAGCUGCAAAUCAGAGAUCAAUUUUUCAAGAAUAUUUCAUCAUAAAUAACCACAACAAAAAAGAUCUAGCAAACAAAUAUGUUUAUUAGAAGUAGAAAUAUUUCAUUGAUCGAUGAAAAUUUCAACAUAUAUAAAGCAAUCAACAGCACAUAUAUAUGAUAUAUAUACAUAUUCUUUCAAAGAAAAAAAAAAUGAUAUAUACAUAUACCUACAAAAUAACAAAGUGCACUAAUUGCUAAAAUUGCUUACACAAAAGUGAUAGCUUAUUGCAUAAAUAUGAGAUGAGAUCUUUAUAUAGGAUACAUAAAUUGCCAAAGGAUCAUUGGUUGCCCUUCCUUAUAGGUUAAGAUCUUGAGGGUUUCUUUCAACCAUGACCUAGCUUGUAGCUAGGUCUAACUUGAAGCACUAUUUUGCCUUCAAUUUUGCUUCUUUGCUUCCAUCUUUGAUGCAAAUGUUGAGAUCUGAACUUGAGACUCAUGUUAUGAUUUGUGGCUGGAAGAAAGAAACAAAAAAAAGUGUUACUGCAUAUAUAAAUACAGGAGUUGCUGAUGAGAGCAAAAAGAAGAGAAUAAUAGUGGUGCUCAAGUGAGGGAAACAUGUUUGGUUUUCAUAGUGGCUUUUGUAGGUGAAAAAGAAAGUGGAGAAAGGAUCUUCUCAGCAUAUACCUUGACAAAAUUUGGUUGCUUUUCUGCCAUUGAUUUACUUUUCCUAAAAAAAAUAACUUUAUUAAGCAAAGUUAGUGUGACAUCUACAUUUUUGGAAUUUGAUUAAUCAGUGUCGACAUUUAUGUGUAG
This 1944-nucleotide long non-coding RNA is filed under the name Medicago truncatula (barrel medic). RNAcentral's name for it is "long non-coding RNA (MTRU_LNC008183)". Lineage: Eukaryota; Viridiplantae; Streptophyta; Magnoliopsida; Fabales; Fabaceae. The record is from RNAcentral.